UCGGAAUUUGCCCAUUAGAAAACGUCUGCACAGGAAAACAGCAACAGGAUAUCGGAUCCCGUCUGCCUGAGUUUCUCCCGGGUGAUUCCGUCUCAGGCCCUCAAGGGGGCACAAGAGACACGGCCGGCCGGCUGGCGGAAGGAGAUCUGCAAAGUUCCCGCCUCCAGCGAAAGCGCUGCUGCUCUUCUGGCGGGGGAUUUGGCCAAAGCAGAGAAGUUCCGUGUUCUGCAAGAAAGGCAGAGGAGGAAAGCUGAGAAGGGGGCCACGUUGGGAUGCCAGUCCUACCCCCACCCGCCCACGUCAAAAAGUGGCCCUAAAAGAACCUGGAGCUGCCCUGGAGUUGCCUGCAAGACACUCACCCAGCACCUGAAAUGUGCAAAAAACCCUUCACAACCAUCUCCAAAGCGCACCACCAGCUGAGCAAGACUGGCUGAAGAGGAGCGCAGGCGGCAGAGAUUCCUACCUUGUGGUAGCGCACAGCAGUCUGAAGCACAACAGGGCCUGCAUGGAGCACCUCUAGAGAAGUCCCAAAGGAAGCCCGGCUUGGCCCGUAGCUCUUCCUGCGAAGAGAGGGAAAGAGGCGUGAGAAAGGAGGCAGCCAAAGGCCACGGCCUUCUGCUCUCCAUGGCUUCCAUGCAGCUGGACUCAGCCUGGCGUGUCGGCUCCCAGGUCUGCUGAACGCCAACAGAAGCACAGGCUUAGCUUGGCACCAUGCAAGAACGUCACACGCCCUGAAUAGGUGUGGAUCCCUGAGCCCCCAGAAAUGCUGUGGCAGGACGACCUUAAACUGCAUGAAAGUCAGGAGCCCAGCACCAGCCAGCACGAGCACAGCUCUGAGUCACCCACGUGGCAGAAGGCUGCAGUGGGGUUGGAGUGGGUGGCCAGAGGAAGGUGAGGCACGGGUGCCAACAGACCACAGCAGCACUGGAACCCCCCUCUGCCUGCAGGCAGCCUCCUGGAACAGCCACCUCCUGACCGCUGGCCAACUGACCGCCUGGAGCUACAACAGCCUCACUUUCACCUGGGGUCAGACAGCAGCUUGCGUUGGGCAAAGGGAACCAGAUCUCAAAAUUAAACCAAAAGAAUGACCCAC
This is a long non-coding RNA of Sphaerodactylus townsendi, 1093 nucleotides long. RefSeq lists it as uncharacterized. Lineage: Eukaryota; Metazoa; Chordata; Lepidosauria; Squamata; Sphaerodactylidae. The transcript is spliced from 4 exons. The record is from RefSeq and is a predicted model, not a curated record.